AGCUCCAAUAGCGUAUAUUAAAGUUGUUGCGGUAAAAAAGCCCGUAGUUGGAUUUCUGUUGAGAGCAGCCGGUCCGCUCUACGAGCGUGUAUCUGGUUUGGUCUCGGCAUCCUCUCGCGUAACGUUUCUGCGCUUCAUUGCGUGGUGCGCUUAAGCGGGACUUUUACUUUGAGGAAAUUAGAGUGUUCACGGCAGGCAAGCGCCCUGAAUAUGUUAGCAUGGAAUAAUAAGAUAGGACCUGAGUCCCAUUUUGUUGGUUUCUGGAGCUUAGGUAAUGGUUAAUAGGAACAUUUGGGGACAUUUGUAUCGGCGCGUCAGAGGUGGAAUUCUUGGAUUGCGUCGCGACAAACUACUGCGAAAGCAUUUGUCAAGGAUGUUUUCA
RNAcentral lists this ribosomal RNA (382 nucleotides) under uncultured eukaryote. RNAcentral describes it as "SSU rRNA". It matches the Rfam family "Eukaryotic small subunit ribosomal RNA", at positions 587 to 972 of the family's 1831-position model. The record is from RNAcentral.